UUACCUUCAACCUUUACCCCACCAGGAAGUGACUAGUCUCUUAUGAUUUCUGCCAUUUCACACCGAAAGCUAAAGAGUCCGUGUUUUGGAGAUCAGUGGAGGACACUGUAAAUGAAGAUUUUAGAGAAGUGUGUUGACCAUAAAAGGUUUGAUUUUGAUUGUAAUUAUAAUUUACUUUUCAGAACGUGAGAAAGUGAAAGUAAAUUGUAGAUCAUUGCAGCUUUGACAAGAACAGAAAAUGGAUCCCAAAUCUGUGGAAGAGCUUUCUUGUCCCGUGUGCUGUGAAAUCUUCAAGGAUCCUGUUCUUCUGUCCUGUAGUCACAGUUUCUGUAAAGAGUGUCUUCAACAGUUCUGGAGAACCAAGAAAACUCAGGAGUGUCCCGUCUGCAGAAGAAGAUCCUCAAAAGACCUGCCUCCACGUAAUCUAGCAUUAAAAAACUUGUGUGAUUCACUGAGAAAGGAGAGGAACGAGAGGCGCUCAUCAGGAUCUGAGGAGAUCUGCAGUUUACACAGUGAGAAACUCAAACUCUUCUGUCUGGAGGACAAACAGCCGGUGUGUGUAGUGUGUAGAGACUCAGAGAAACAUGUCAGUCACACAAUCAGACCCAUCGGAGAAGUGAUCUCAUCUCACAAGGACGAAGUGAACACAGCGCUGACAUCUUUACAAAACAAGCUCAAACAUGCAGAAAAAAAGAAAGCAGAGUGUGAGAAAACCGUUCAACACAUCAAGUCUCAAGCGGAGCACACCGAGCGUCAGAUUAAAGAGGAGUUUGAGAAGCUUCAUCAGUUUCUCAGAGAUGAAGAAGAAGCUACAAUCACUGCACUGAGGGAGGAAGAGGAGCAGAAGCAGCAGAUGAUGAAGGAGAAGCUGGAGGAGAUGAACAGACACAUCUCUGCUCUUUCACACACAAUCACAGACACGGAGGAGAUGAUGAAGGACAGCGAUGCCUGCUUUCUGAAGAACUUCAGCAUCACGAUGGAAAGAGUCCGGAUCUCAUCACAGCCGGAUCCUCAGAUGAGUUCUGGAGCUUUGAUUCAUGUGCCACAUUACUUGAGUAACCUGCGCUUCAGAGUCUGGAGCAAGAUGCAGGAAACUCUCCAACACACUCCAUUGACUCUAGAUCCAAACACAGCACAUCCUCUGCUCACUCUCUCUUCUGAUUUGACCAGUGUAUCGUACAGUGAUUUAUAUCAAAAUCUUCCUGAUAAUCCAGAGAGGAUUGAGAGGUAUGCAUGUGUUCUGGGAUCGGAGGGCUUUAACUCAGGGACACACUGCUGGGAUGUGGAGGUUGGAGACAAUACAUACUGGGUUGUUGGAAUAACCACAGCAUCAAACCAAAGGAAGGGAGAGGUUUUCUUUAACUCUAAUGUCUGGCUUGUGCGGUACAUGAAGAGUAAAUACUGCUCACAAUCCCCAGAUCAACCCUUGACUGGCUUCACAGUUAAAGAGAAGCCUCAGCGUGUGAGAGUUCAGCUGGACUGUGACAGAGGAAAGGUGUCCUUCUCUGAUCCUCAAACUAACAUCUGUCUCUGCUCAUUCACAACAACCUUCACAGAGACGGUCUUUCCUUUCUUAUAUAAUCGCUGCACAACUUCUCCUCUGAGGAUCUUACCAGUUAAACUGAUCGUAACAACAGAAAAUCACAGUUAAAUCUCUUUCUGCUUUUAUAGAUCAAUUAAGGUACAAUAAUUAGUUGUAUUCAUCGUUUUUCAUUUUAUGAUUCAAUAUUUGAUAUUCUGUUUUAGGGAAACUAAUGGAUAUUAAACACAUAUUUGAAUAUUAAAUUAUAUAUUAAGGUAAAAAAAAAAAAAAAAAAACUAACAAGAAUAUUAAACCUCUCAACAACACACCUGUUUGUAAUAUUCAGUAAAGCUGAACGUCUAGAGGAGAUUAUUAUAACUGUUUGAUUACAGGAGUUAAACUCUGCACUAGAUCUCCAGAACUUCAGGCGAAGACACUCUGUGUGUGUUACAAACUACUACAAUGUGUAAAAUUACAGUAUAUUAAUGAUUGCAUUACUUUCACAGUAAUUUCAUAUUCUAGCUAGUCAUAAAUUAAAUGUUUUAAUUUGUCACACAUCUGACAUGACUAGAUCAGAAGUUUGAACAUGAAUAUACAAGAUCCAAGACCCCAAACAAAUGGGAUCUUCAAUCACCAGUAUAUGGUGACUUCAAAACAAUUAAACAAGUACAUUUCUGACAGUGGCACAGUUAAAGACAAGAGCAGUAAUUACUGUGAUGUUACCAUCAUUCUGCUGUUCUUUCAGUCAUUGGUAAGAAAAUGAUCCAGCAUGCAUUGAUUUCAUUCACAGUACAUUUCUGACUAUGAUUUUUAAUACAAUCUUUUCAGUGUAUGUUUCAUUCGAUGACAGUUUAGCUAUUUGAGUUAUCUUGAGUUGUCAGCUGAGCCUAUAUUCACCAAUAUUGAUCAAUUGUGCUCAGAAACUGUGCAUCGGUGUGCUUUGGAUACCAAAACGACUCUCUGGUAAAGAACAUAAAUCCACUGUGGAGACAGAGGUAACAAUCAAACAGAAAUCUUCGCUCGUAAACCCUGAGCUUUACCUAAAGGUAGCUGAUUAACAUGUUACUGGGAUUCGGGAUGAGCUGGAAGCUGAGCCAAGUGCAGUGGGAGAUUCCGACAGAUGGUACGGCGAGAGGCGUAGCCUGCAGAGAGCAUGGGUACCAUAGGUUGGAUACCGCAUCCAUUCAGAACCACAGCUUCUUAGUUGAUAAAGCACAGUAGGGAGCGUGAAGGGAAUGACUUCCAGACGCACAGGACAGGACAGGACAGGACAGGACAGGACAGGACAGGACAGGACAGGACAGGACAGGACAGGACAGGACAGGACAGGACAGGACAGGACAGGACAAACUUCAUUCAGAAGGUAAGAUGUGCGUCUUCAGCAUUGAUCGCUAGGAAUAAACUGACAAAGGGGUUAAUGAAAGCAGAGGUAGAAAUAGCAGGAGGAAUCAGGGAAGAGGGGAAACAGGUGGAAGGAUUGGGUAAGUGGGAACAGCUGGGACUAAUGAAGUUAAAGUGAUGGUGUAGAGAAAGAGUGUGCAGGAUAACCACAAGAGGGGGACAGAGAAAGGAGGAACCCGGAUCAUUACAUUUGGUCUUUACUGAUCAGCAAGAACAACUGUGAGGCUUGACAUCAGGGGCCUGUUGCACAAAAGUAGAAUUAAGACAUCCGGGAUAAAUAACUGAGCUGAGCUCAAUAAAGCCAAAACAUGUGCGUCCAGGCUUAAUUGGUUGCACAAAGACCAAGCCAGGAUGAGCAGACACGGAUUCAUUAAGCCAGGUGAAACCAAUCCUGGAUAGGUGCGCGCUCACGGCUCACUCAAAUAGACCCCGCCACAGAUCACAGAUUAACUGAUUUACCUUGGCAACUAGAGCCGCGUACUUUCCCCCGUCGGAAGCACAAAUCCUCAUGGAGGCAUACGAGGAGGUAAAAGAUAUAAUUAAGAAGAAAGGCAACACCGCCACAGUGAUAAAGCAAAGAGAAAAAGCGUGGCAAAGUAUUGCAGACCGUCUGAAUGCGUAAGUAGUGCACAAUUACACACUCACCGCGCCGCUGAAACAUCACAAUUACAAAUCAAAUAUUUAAUUCACAUCUCCAAAAACGCAGUUGUACUGUAAUUAUGAAACGGUUAAAUUUUUUAUUGAAAUGCACUGCAUAUAUGAGUGAAAUUGUGUAACGUAACUCCAUCACACUGUAUAAAGCUAUGAUAUAUUAUUAUUAAAGCCUUACAUUAUUAUUUUACGUUACUACGCUCAGUACGGUUUAAUAUUAGCCGUUGUACUCCGCUUAUUAUGUUGUCCACCGGUUUUUUUUUUUUUGCUUGUUUCCCCUGCUUUUAUUAAUGUAAAGCAGCUUUGACAGAAUGAAACAAUUGUGAAAAGUGCUAUAUAAAUAACAUUUUCUUGAAUACAUAGAUGAGCUAUAAUAAUAAUCACUUUAAUUUAUAUAGCGCCUUUCAAAGGACCCAAGGUCGGUUGCUCACUGCACUGCAAAAAUGUCUUUCUUACUUAGUAUUUUUGUCUUGUUUUCAGUAAAAAAAAAAAUAUCUAAAAAAAAAUCUUAAAUAUUUUCUAGAGCAAAAUAACCUAGAAAAAUAAGCAAAAAACUCUGCCAGUGAAACAAGAGAACUUUUCUAAAAGUAAGUGUUUAUGAAAAAAGUAAACUUAUUUCAAGAUAAUUUUUCUUAUUAUAUUGACAGAUAUUUAAUUUUUUUGCUUGUUUUAAGCACACAUUUACUUGAAGUUUAUAUUUUGGUCUAAACCUAUACUUAUUUUGCUAGGUCAUUUAGAAAAUCAAGAAAAUACAUCUUUAUUGUUUUUUUUUAAAUAUAUUUUUACUGAAAACAAUACAAAAAUACCAAGUCAUUUUUGUCAGUGUGACUCCAUUAAAUGUUCUUGUGAUAAAGAAUGUGUGUGUGUGCGUGUGAUGUAGAUUAAACAUGAACGGGCCAAAACGGACAUGGCAGCAGGUCAAAAUCAAAUACAAGAACAUUCUACAGAAUGCAGUGAAAAAGAAUACCCACAGACAAGGCACGGGUGGUGGGUCACCAAAGGCUGACCUUACCCCAGCAGAGGACAUGGCCUUGGAGCUAAAUAAAGGCAGGCCCGUCUUAGAGGGGAUCCCUGGGGGGAAAGAGACGAGCAUAGGUUCCUCCCAAGAUGCCACCCGCUUCAUUCAAGUGUCUGGCAGCACUGUGUUCCUGUUAGAGCCACCAGCACAAGCACCAGACGAUGCUGAUCCAGUGAGUACUCCAUCAAAGGCAUACUGUAGGCCUGGCAUGUCUUGUCUACUAGCUUCAAUAUGAAUCCGAUUAAAUGUGAUGGGGUGAAAGCCCCAGUGCAGCAGCAACAGCACAUGAUGGAGACGAUGAUGAGGAGGAGACCAUCUCUCUGGAUUCCAGAAGGCAUGAGGACCCAGAUGCUAUACAGUGGGAAAACCAGCCUGGCAACAUAAGCUCACAAGCUAUCAGAAAGUUGUAAGGCAACCACCUCCGGCGCCAAAUAGAACUGGCAGACAUAGACAUUCAGUACAAGAAGAAAAAGCUAGAAAAUCUUGUACUGGAGUCCGAAAUAAAAAAGAGGACAAUUAGGAAACUGGACCUUGAAAUAAAAAAACUUGAGAGGGAGUUCCAAGAAGAUGAUACGGCUCAAAAUAAAAAUUAGCAAUCAGUACAACCAAGUCAUCGUUAUAAGGCACCAGCCUCUUUUGCCCACCCCCCCAGCACCAGGUGUGGCCACUAGCCUAUAUGAAGGCCCAAAAUUGUGUGUUCCUUUCUGCUCUGACAAUGGCAUGCCCAUUCUUGCGAGAUGUGGUGGAUGAAGAAGCACUUGUGCUGAGGAGAGCCUUCAGGCGAGAAAGGGUCUUCAGGGACCGGUUGGACCCACUGGCCUUCCCUGAUGACCAUCUAUAUGAAAGAUACAGGUUUUCUGCAGAUGGCAUCAGGUAUCUAUGCAGACUACUGGGUCCCAGGAUUAAGCACCGCACUGCACGGAGCCAUGCACUGAGUGUGGAGCAAAUGGUUUGUGUGGCCUUGCGCUUUUUUGCUAGUGGAGCCUUCCUGUACUCAGUGGGGGAUGCAGAACAGCUGAACAAGGCCACAAUUUGCCGCACAAUAAGGAGUGUGUGUCUGGCUAUCAAAGCAUUAGCAGAUGUCUUCAUCUCCUUCCCUGGCCACAGAAGACUCUGUGACAUGAAAGAGGAGUUCUAUAGGAUUGCAGGUUUCCCCAAUGUCAUUGGUGCAGUGGACUGCACACACAUAAGGAUAAAAGCCCCCUCAGGUGCCCAUGAGGCCGAUUUUGUGAAUAGGAAAUCCUUUCACAGCAUUAAUGUUCAGAUGGUCUGCAAUGCUGACUGUGUGAUCAGCAAUGUUGUGGCGAAAUGGCCUGGCUCAGUCCAUGACUCCAGAAUCUUUCGGGCCUCUGAAAUCUAUCAGUGCCUAUCUCAAGGUGAAUUCUCUGGUGGAUUGCUGGGAGACAGGGGGUAUGGCUGCCAGCCUUUUCUCCUGACACCUUUCACAGACCCCCAGGAAGCACAGCAGGCCUACAACCAUGCCCAUGCCAGGACCAGGGCCAGAGUUGAAAUGACCUUUGGCCUCCUGAGGGCACGCUUUCACUGCCUUCACAAAUUAAGGGUCAACCCUGUUAGGGCAUGUGAUAUUACUGUGGCUUGUGCUGUCCUCCACGAUGUGUCCUGCCUGAGGAAGGAGAGAGCCCCCAGAGUGCCACCAGCCAUGGACUGGGACAAUCCGGCAAUCUUCCCUGAUGACGACAGUGGUCGGCUGCUGAGGGACCAAUAUGUGUUGAAUUAUUUUAGUUAGUAUGUGUGGUUUCAAUUUAGGUAAAAAAUGUCCUGCUGUGGCAGAGGAAAUAGGUUUUUUUUGGGUUGGUUUUUUUAAAGAAUUUGGCCUCUUAUGAUGUUUGUGCGGUAUACUGUGUGUAAUACAAGGCUGCAGGGAGGCUACUGCAUCCAUUCAUUUGUCUGUUCAGUUGAUGUGUAUGGAUUUGUCCUGCAUUUAUUUUAGUGUGCAGACAUGCAGGGUGUGUUAUAUACAGACCUUUGAAUGUGUAUGUAUCAUUUUGUAUAAUAUGCUUUGAUUCUGUGCUUUCCAUCUUGUAGAGUCACUGUGACUUCAGUUUCGAAAGGAGCUGAUAGUUUACCUGCUUUGUUUUGUCCUUAUUCAAUAAAGGAACAUAAUGUUACACAUUGUGUUUUUAUAUUCA
RNA transcript from Carassius gibelio (silver crucian carp), 6742 nucleotides. It is a transcript of the gene named nuclear factor 7, brain-like, with no coding region annotated. The transcript is spliced from 15 exons. The record is from RefSeq and is a predicted model, not a curated record. NCBI's taxonomy places the organism in Eukaryota, Metazoa, Chordata, Actinopteri, Cypriniformes, Cyprinidae.